UAAUUAUCAGAAAACUUAAACUCAAUGUUAAUGAAAAAAAUGUCCAUUAGUUAAUUGAAUAAAAAUAAUAAUUUACUGGUUAUUAUAAAAUUAAAUACCAUAUGAGGUAUCACAAGUUGACUAGAGCGAUUAUUGCUAACAUGUAGCAAUUAAAUAUUACAGCAAAGAAACAAGUAAUUGAGCUAAUUAGUAGCUGUACAAUAAAUGAAAAACUAUUUUAGUUUUUGUAAACUUGAAAUUUGACUUAACGUUUUUACAACAAAAAAUAAACGUCAAUACCAACAUAUUAAUAAAUAUAAUGAAUUGAAUGGAUAUGUGCAUGUGUGGUGUGUGACAGCUGAUCGACAAAUAGUACAGAUAAACACACUACUAGUGUAGUGGGUAUCAUUGAGCGUUGGCUGUAUGAACCGGUCCAAAUAAAUUGGAUUUUAUUGAAGAAGGGGUUCACUUAUGGUAUUACCCGAUCAGCAAGAAUGCGAAUUGAUCAACUUCAGUUUUCAAAUGUACGUGUUGGCACCCCCAAAUUGUGCCGUUGGUAUAAGCUAUCACUUGCCAUAUUGUAAUGAUAUACAUAGUACAUCAUUAAUGUCAUAAUAAAUUAUUUAAAAUAUAAACAAUACAUCAUUAAUGUCAUAAUGAAUUAUUUAAGACUUCAAUCAAUCAAUCACACAAAAUGAAAUUAUAUCAAUAAAAAUAAUAUAUAUAUAUAUAUGUACCUUUUAAAUGUUUAAAUAAGUUAAUGAAAUUUUGUAGAAAAAGCAUAUAUUAAUUGUAAAAAACAAACAAGAAACAAUAAUCAAUAUGUAAUGGUAUACACAUAAGAUGAAGGGUAAUAAACUAUGUCUGUGAUGUUUUAUGUUGGUAUCACUACUAAUUGAAUGAUACGUUGUAUUACUUGUAAUUGUUGAUAAGUAAAAAAUAUGUCAUGUUCGAGUGUUCUAACGUGUGUAUCAUGCCUUAAUAAAAAAAUGUUAAUAAUUAAAUAAUGUGUUUAUUAAUAAUAAAUAAUAA
Long non-coding RNA from Daktulosphaira vitifoliae (grape phylloxera), 1011 nucleotides. RefSeq lists it as uncharacterized. NCBI's taxonomy places the organism in Eukaryota, Metazoa, Arthropoda, Insecta, Hemiptera, Phylloxeridae. The transcript has 3 exons. The record is from RefSeq and is a predicted model, not a curated record.